Molecule: ribosomal RNA, 473 nt
Filed under: Pseudopolydora sp. Sodwana32-4
Lineage: Eukaryota; Metazoa; Annelida; Polychaeta; Spionida; Spionidae
Description: partial 16S ribosomal DNA
Rfam family: Bacterial large subunit ribosomal RNA
Source: RNAcentral
CGCCUCUAGAUAUCUUCUUAUUAGAGGUCCAUUCUGCCCUAUGCCUAUUUAGGUAAAUGGCCGCGGUAACCUGACCGUGCUAAGGUAGCAUAAUCAUUUGCCAUUUAAUUGGUGGCUAGUAUGAAUGAAUAUACGAGAGCAUAUCUGUCUCCUGUUUAAUUAUAAAAAUUGACCUUCAAGUGAAGAGACUUGAAUUUCUCAAAAAGACGAAAAGACCCUAUAGAGCUUUAUUUGAUAUUAAACUCUUUUUAUUUUAAAAUUUAGUUGGGGCAACUAGAGGCCUUCUAAAACACCUCUAAAGAACUUAUUAGAUCCAGUAUACUGAUUAAAAGAAAAAGCUACCUUAGGGAUAACAGGCUAAUCCUGUUUUAGAGACCAUAUUGACAACAGGGCUUGGCACCUCGAUGUUGGCUCAAGGCAACUCCCCGAUGCAGCAGUCAGGGCGUGUAGGUUUGUUCACCCUUUAAUUCCUU